CUGGCAACAUGAUGGCCUGCCUGCAAACCAGCAUGCUGGUGGGGCAGACCUGAGAAUGCGUG
This is a non-coding RNA of Heterocephalus glaber (naked mole-rat), 62 nucleotides long. NCBI's taxonomy places the organism in Eukaryota, Metazoa, Chordata, Mammalia, Rodentia, Bathyergidae. The record is from Rfam.